CUUUGCAAACGCGGGAGCUCGGAGCACCGGGCUGAGAGGGCGCUGAAAGCGGAAGCGGCAUCACGCCGACGCGACAGCUGCGCCGACCGACGAACCUGUUACCGGGUAAUGCCGGCGUAGGGAGUAGGUCUCAUGACCAC
This 140-nucleotide non-coding RNA is filed under the name Actinacidiphila cocklensis. RNAcentral describes it as "Streptomyces cocklensis TPP". It matches the Rfam family "TPP riboswitch aptamer (THI element)". From Rfam's summary of the family: Vitamin B(1) in its active form thiamin pyrophosphate (TPP) is an essential coenzyme that is synthesised by coupling of pyrimidine and thiazole moieties in bacteria. The previously detected thiamin-regulatory element, thi box was extended, resulting in a new, highly conserved RNA secondary structure, the THI element, which is widely distributed in eubacteria and also occurs in some archaea. Lineage: Bacteria; Bacillati; Actinomycetota; Actinomycetes; Kitasatosporales; Streptomycetaceae. The record is from RNAcentral.